GGGGUUUUGGCUCAGUGGUAGAGCGCUUGCCUAGCAAGCGCAAGGCCCUGGGUUCGAUCCCCAGCUCUG
RNAcentral lists this transfer RNA (69 nucleotides) under Rattus norvegicus (Norway rat). It matches the Rfam family "tRNA". Rfam says of the family: Transfer RNA (tRNA) molecules are approximately 80 nucleotides in length. Lineage: Eukaryota; Metazoa; Chordata; Mammalia; Rodentia; Muridae. The record is from Rfam by way of RNAcentral.